UCGGGAAUAUUGCGCAAUGGAGGAAACUCUGACGCAGUGACGCCGCGUAUAGGAAGAAGGUCUUCGGAUUGUAAACUAUUGUCGUUAGGGAAGAGAAAGGACAGUACCUAAGGAGGAAGCUCCGGCUAACUACGUGCCAGCAGCCGCGGUAAUACGUAGGGAGCGAGCGUUAUCCGGAUUUAUUGGGUGUAAAGGGUGCGUAGACGGGAAAAUAAGUUAGUUGUGAAAUCCCUCGGCUUAACUGAGGAACUGCAACUAAAACUAUUUUUCUUGAGUGCAGGAGAGGAAAGUGGAAUUCCUAGUGUAGCGGUGAAAAUGCGUAGAUAUUAGGAGGAACACCAGUGGCGAAGGCGACUUUCUGGACUGUAACUGACGUUGAGGCACGAAAAGUGUGGGGAGCAAACAGGAUUAGAUACC
Molecule: ribosomal RNA, 417 nt
Filed under: uncultured bacterium
Lineage: Bacteria
Description: bacterial SSU rRNA
Rfam family: Bacterial small subunit ribosomal RNA
Source: RNAcentral